UACAGAGGGGGCAAGCGUUGUUCGGAAUUAUUGGGCGUAAAGGGCGCGUAGGCGGUGCGGUAAGUCACUUGUGAAAUCUCUGGGCUCAACUCAGAGUCUGCAAGCGAAACUGCCGUGCUUGAGUGUGGGAGAGGGAUGCGGAAUUCCAGGUGUAGCGGUGAAAUGCGUAGAUAUCUGGAGGAACACCGGUGGCGAAGGCGGCAUCCUGGACCGGCAUUGACGCUGAGGAGCGAAAGCCAGGGGAGCAAACGGG
This 253-nucleotide ribosomal RNA is filed under the name uncultured bacterium. RNAcentral's name for it is "partial 16S ribosomal RNA". It matches the Rfam family "Bacterial small subunit ribosomal RNA", at positions 524 to 776 of the family's 1533-position model. The record is from RNAcentral.